This 1794-nucleotide long non-coding RNA is filed under the name Homo sapiens (human). RNAcentral's name for it is "non-protein coding lnc-ZBTB20-1:3". The stretch from base 61 to 153 matches the Rfam family "mir-568 microRNA precursor family". Lineage: Eukaryota; Metazoa; Chordata; Mammalia; Primates; Hominidae. The record is from RNAcentral.
GGGGAAAGUUAAGCAUGUGCUAGUGUCUGAACCCAGUUCAGUUUAUCUCCAGUUGAAACGAUAUACACUAUAUUAUGUAUAAAUGUAUACACACUUCCUAUAUGUAUCCACAUAUAUAUAGUGUAUAUAUUAUACAUGUAUAGGUGUGUAUAUGUGCAUAUAUACACACAUGCACAUAACAAAAUCAGAUGCUCAUUACAAAUCCAGAUGCUCAUUACAAAACCAGAUGCUACACAAACAGCAGCAGAGGAAACAAGGUUGGACUCUUGCAACAGAUCACAAAAAAUAAAAACAGCUACUUGCAGUGACUUUGGUCAUUUCUGUAUGUUCAUAAAGAAUGGAUUGUAACAAGGAAAAAAAGGAACAGUGUUAGUGAAAAAGGAAAAAUGGGCGAAACCAUCUUGAUCCGAUGCGAAUGCAGUAAUGUUCUAUAUACCAUUUCAUCAGUUAUUUCUUUUAGUCAUGUUGAUUUGAUUUCAGUUUCUGGCUAUGAAAAACAUUUUUAAACUCGUCACCCACAACAAACUGAACAAAACUACUACAGUGAAAGCCCUUUUCAGUGAAAGAUGUCAGAAACCUCAAAACCUUUGGCCUGACUCAGAACUACCAUGUGAAAAUCAGUACUCUCUUAAUGUUUGAAAUAAAAACUGAAAAAAAAAACAAAAAAACAAAAAACCUUUUUUGAAGCACCUUAACGUGGCCAUCCAUUUGAGAAGUGGGUGCCACUUUUUUCUUUGAGCACCUUAUUGAUGUGUUUGCUAUCUGCUGUCUUUCUGUUACCUGUUGGCUGAAUGGCUAGCUGUUAACAUAUACAUGUGCACAGAAGAGAUAUCUGGGCAUGUAUGUUCUCAAUGAAGUUUACUGUGGUGACUGCUGAAAGGUGAACCCAUUUCCUGAUUUUCCCGCCGCAGUGUUGUGAUAAGAUUCGAAGAAACCUUUUUCCCUGCACAGAAAUGUUUCUUAUCACAUUGUAUCUUAGUAUGGAAAGGAAUAUGGUCCCUUUUUUGCAAUUGCUACUGUGUACACACACACACACACACACACACACACACACACACACUGUAUGUUUAGACCUAAAAUACACACACCCACGCACACACUGUAUGUUUAUGUGACCUAAAACAUACACACAUGCACACACACAUACAUAUCCAUUCAUUCAUUCAUUCAAGUGGUGUUUCCAGUGUCUGUGUGUCACUGUUUAUGCAGUUUCCAUUUCCCAGUGAAUUAUGAGUGGAGGGCAACUUUUCUAACCAGAUUGUCUUUUCAGAACAAAGACCUGGGAAUUGAGGAAGAGUUUGGAAAGAGGGAGAGGCAAGGAAAGAGAGCUUUAAAUUGAAAGGUUAAUUUCCUAAGAGGAACCUGGGCUGAAUGACUGCAGUGUUAUACCCUCCAAUCUUUGCAGGUGGGCAUGGAACACUGCUUGUAUCACUCUGUGCACGGUAUAAAUCCAUAUAUCCACAAAAACACACAUCCAUCCAUCAACAUAUACAUGGUUUGGGAUGAGCAGGUCAAUAGUUUUGAGAGGGAGUUUGUUCCUUUUUUUUUCUCAUUAUACUCUUAAAUUGUUGUCAGUUAUCAAACAAACAAACAGAAAAAUUGUUUGGAAAAACCUUGCAUACGCCUUUUCUAUCAAGUGCUUUAAAAUAUAGACUAAAUACACACAUCCUGCCAGUUUUUUCUUACAGUGACAGUAUCCUUACCUGCCAUUUAAUAUUAGCCUCGUAUUUUUCUCACGUAUAUUUACCUGUGACUUGUAUUUGUUAUUUAAACAGGAAAAAAAACAUUCAAAAA